AUGUACCACGCGUACACUCCCGUUCCUCCGCGCCGUCCGUACCCACCUGUGAGGACCGCUCGCUACGUUUUGUUAGCC
RNAcentral lists this small RNA (78 nucleotides) under Xanthomonas fragariae. RNAcentral describes it as "sX9 sRNA". It matches the Rfam family "Xanthomonas sRNA sX9". Lineage: Bacteria; Pseudomonadati; Pseudomonadota; Gammaproteobacteria; Lysobacterales; Lysobacteraceae. The record is from RNAcentral.